Long non-coding RNA from Diabrotica virgifera virgifera (western corn rootworm), 338 nucleotides. RefSeq lists it as uncharacterized. The record is from RefSeq and is a predicted model, not a curated record. NCBI's taxonomy places the organism in Eukaryota, Metazoa, Arthropoda, Insecta, Coleoptera, Chrysomelidae. The transcript is spliced from 2 exons.
CCUAUUCUCAGUUCUACAGCAAAUACGUGUAAAAUUUCAUAAAAAUCGGUCAAGCCGUUUCGAAGAAGUGUGGUAACUAAUAUUGUGAGAGGAGAAUUUUAUAUAUUAUUUAAGUAGCUGUGAAUUAAUUAAAAAAAUUGUGGGAGCUGUAACGGUAUAUCUGGUGAUGUUUAUACAGUUUGAUCUAGCCUCCAGGAAACAAAGUGAACAAACACAGUGAACCAGGUUAGGAAAAGCAAAUCCAGCAGUUAGGUUAUAUUAAUAUAGUCUAUAAGUGUAGGUAAAUAAUGUUAAAUGAUGAUUGUGAAUAAUUAUUUUGAUUUAUUGUCUGUAGACAA